RNAcentral lists this ribosomal RNA (433 nucleotides) under uncultured bacterium. RNAcentral's name for it is "bacterial SSU rRNA". It matches the Rfam family "Bacterial small subunit ribosomal RNA", at positions 43 to 524 of the family's 1533-position model. The record is from RNAcentral.
CAGGCCUAACACAUGCAAGUCGAACGCCCCGCAAGGGGAGUGGCAGACGGGUGAGUAACACGUGGGAACGUACCCUUUGGUUCGGAACAACCCUGGGAAACUAGGGCUAAUACCGGAUACGCGCGAGAGCGGAAAGGUUUACCGCCGAAGGAUCGGCCCGCGUCUGAUUAGCUAGUUGGUGAGGUAACGGCUCACCAAGGCGACGAUCAGUAGCUGGUCUGAGAGGAUGAUCAGCCACAUUGGGACUGAGACACGGCCCAAACUCCUACGGGAGGCAGCAGUGGGGAAUAUUGGACAAUGGGCGAAAGCCUGAUCCAGCAAUGCCGCGUGAGUGAUGAAGGCCUUAGGGUUGUAAAGCUCUUUUACCCGGGAUGAUAAUGACAGUAUCGGGAGAAUAAGCCCCGUCUAACUCCGUGCCAGCAGCCGCGGUAAU